This 498-nucleotide ribosomal RNA is filed under the name uncultured bacterium. Its description in RNAcentral is "partial 16S ribosomal RNA". It matches the Rfam family "Bacterial small subunit ribosomal RNA", at positions 29 to 523 of the family's 1533-position model. The record is from RNAcentral.
AUUGAACGCUGGCGGCAUGCCUUACACAUGCAAGUCGAACGGUAACGCGGGGCAACCUGGCGACGAGUGGCGAACGGGUGAGUAAUGCAUCGGAACGUGCCCAGUAGUGGGGGAUAGCCCGGCGAAAGCCGGAUUAAUACCGCAUACGACCUACGGGUGAAAGCGGGGGACCGUAAGGCCUCGCGCUAUUGGAGCGGCCGAUGUCAGAUUAGGUUGUUGGUGGGGUAAAAGCCUACCAAGCCGACGAUCUGUAGCUGGUCUGAGAGGACGACCAGCCACACUGGGACUGAUACACGGCCCAGACUCCUACGGGAGGCAGCAUUGGGGAAUUUUGUACGAUGGGGGCAACCCUGAUCCAGCCAUGCCGCGUGCGGGAAGAAGGCCUUCGGGUUGUAAACCGCUUUUGUCAGGGAAGAAACGCUCUGGGCUAAUACCCCGGGGUAAUGACGGUACCUGAAGAAUAAGCACCGGCUAACUACGUGCCAGCAGCCGCCGCGG